Long non-coding RNA from Rosa chinensis, 1771 nucleotides. RefSeq lists it as uncharacterized. Lineage: Eukaryota; Viridiplantae; Streptophyta; Magnoliopsida; Rosales; Rosaceae. The transcript has 10 exons. The record is from RefSeq and is a predicted model, not a curated record.
AAAGCCCUAAAAAUCCCAACAAUGCAAGAAUGAGGAAACAGUAGAAAAUCCUCCUUCAGCCACCACGACUGGAAUGAUGUUAAAGUUUCUACACUGGUUGUAUCUGUGUACUUCACAAUCUGGGAUGGCGUUAGUUGCGGUUGCUGCACAGGUUUUACAACAAUGCUUCUACGUCCUGUGAGAAUCCAUGGCAUUUGAGCUAUAGUUUCUUGUGAGUUGUAACGGUGGGGCCGUACCAUUGUCAACUCCAAGCAAUGCUGCUAGUCCAACUCUCAGUUCCUCCAUGCUUGGAUUCAUCCCUCUAAUUAUACCGUUGUUCAUUUUGUAAUUGCAAUUUCUAACUUGGCUGUAGGGCUUCAAGAUUAAACUUCACUGAAACCAUGACCAAGAUCAUUAAGGAGAUGUUGCCUCCACAUGUACGCGUCGCAAGAGAUGCUCAAGAUCUUCUCAUCGAGUGUUUUGUAGAAUAGGCAAACAGCUUUAUUUUCUGCAACCCAGACUAAGAAGGUUGAAGAUCUUGCUGGCUUUUCCUUCCAGACAACGCCUAUGUAUAUAGAUGUGGAUGAUGGGAGAUCUAAGGCCACGAAUAUAUAUAGGGCUGCAACAGGGCUAUUGUCUUGUGCCAAGUGCCAAGAGAUUUUAUUCUCCUAUAUUCUUUCCUGACGAGGAAUCUAUCAAAGAAAGUGAUGGUCUUCUUCUCUUCUUGCAACUCAGUAAAAUUCCACUCUGACCUUCUUAGAUACGUUAUUGUGGAUUGCUUUGAUAUCCAUGGAAAGCAAAAGCAGCAGAAGAGGACAGGUACUUUUUUUUACUACUGCAAAGCAGAGAAAAUAAUCUUACUUUGUACUGAGGUUGGUGCUCGUGGACCGGGUAUCCCUGCCGUGGACUGGAUUAUGCAGUGUGAUCCUCCAGAUGAACCCAAGGAAUAUAUCCACAAGGCUGGUCGAACAGCUCGUGGGGAAGGUGGAAAAGGAAAAGCACUACUUUUCCUCAUUCCCGAAGAGUUGCAGGCUAUUUGAGGGCAUGGUUCAUAUACUGAUGAAAAGAAUACCAAAAAAAAAAAAAGAAACUGAAAUAGAAUCCAAGUAUAAGCUACUAACUUGAAAGCAAAAGUCCCUGUUAAAGAGUACGAAUUUAAUCAGAAGAAGCUAAAAAAAUGUGCAAUCUCAGCUGGAGAAGUUAGUUGCCAACAACUACCAUCUGAACCGUGCAGCAAAAGAUGCAUAUAGGUCUUAUCUAUUAGCAUAUAAUACACACUCUAUGAAGGACAUCUUUAAUGUUCACUGGCUUGAUCUCCAGGCUGUUGCUUCUUCAUUUUGCUUUUCUAAUCCACCCAAGGUAAAUUUAAACUUAGACAGCAGUGCAUCAAUGUUCAGGAAGAACAUGCACAGAGUGGAUGGAAUUCGACAUGGAAUCAAUCCUAGAAAUCCUUAUGGAAGGAAGGCAAAACGGUGGAGAUGAUACAAGACAAUUUGUGAGGCAUCAGGAUAUAGAAGCCUCACCCUGCAGCUCUGCAGUAAUUCUGCACAAGUUUUGUAUUUUUUUUUGGCUGAUGGAACAAAUUAAAAUGAAACAAAGUUUUUCUGGGGUUUUCGUUCCUUUCACUCUAAUCUUGUAACAAUGGAGACACUGUAAACCUCAAAAAGUUUUUAGUUGGUCUAUUAGACACAAUGAUACAUGUCUUCUUGACUACUUCAGUGGAUAAACAAAAAGGACUUCAUAUUAAUGUCUAUCCUACAACAUGUGGAUGCAGGAUUAUGCCUUACGUUUA